GGGCCACGCGCCAUGAUGGGAAGGUAAGGUCUUCUGGGGUCAGCUGGACUCAUAAGGCAGGAGGGACCUCAUCUUUCAGAGAAGGAAUGCCUAGAUUAUCAACAGAACUGUGCCCCAAGACCCAGAGAGACCUCCCUGCCCCAGUGCCUAUUAGAAUGACAAAAGGGGUGGACCCAAGCCCAGAUGACCAGGGCUCUGCCUGGAAGUGCCAGGCCAGGACCCUGGGUCUGUAGAGCCUCUGCCAUUGCAAAGGAUGAGCCAGAUGGAAAAAUUCAGCAUGGAGCUGUAUCCCUGAGCCAAGAGGGCACCCCCUUCCCCGUUGGGGGAGCGAUGGCUUGGGAACAAGCCCCCCGCCCCGUGCUCCAGUGCAUCUAGCUGCCUUUGGCCACCAUCCUGAAACAGCAGGGAGCAGGCUUCCUCUUUCCUCACACCCUGGAACCCAGUGAUUGCUGACCAGGAAGCAGAACAACAGAGCUCAGACAGCGAAAGCCUCCCCAUCCCAGCUGUAUGCAAAUUCCCAGCAGGCUGAAAGGACCACCCGCCCACCCAAGACCACCUCCCAGGAAGCCGAGGCCUUGUGUGCAGCCCCAGAGGAGCUUGAGCUGAACGGAGAAUGGGUUGAGGUGGGUGGGACCCAUCACUGUUCUUCCCUUCUCAUUCCUGCGCGUUCCCUGAAGAGUCUCUGGGGCCUGCUUUUCCCCCCAGCAGAGACGGAUGUGUCACAUUUAUGGCAUCCCAUUUCCUUCACAGAGAGGCUAUAGAUCCUGUUUCAUUCUGGUGUAUUUAAUUCACUCCAUAGGAAUCAAUAAAAACUUUAAAUUAAAAAAAAGGCAAA
Molecule: long non-coding RNA, 835 nt
Filed under: Homo sapiens (human)
Lineage: Eukaryota; Metazoa; Chordata; Mammalia; Primates; Hominidae
Description: HSALNT0105252
Source: RNAcentral